UGAGGAAUAUUGCGCAAUGGGGGAAACCCUGACGCAGCAACGCCGCGUGGGUGAAGAAGGCCUUCGGGUCGUAAAGCCCUUUCGGACGGGACGAACGCUCCGCGGUGACAACCCGCGGAGUCUGACGGUACCGUAAGAAGAAGCACCGGCUAACUCCGUGCCAGCAGCCGCGGUAAUACGGAGGGUGCAAGCGUUGUUCGGAAUUACUGGGUUUAAAGGGUGCGUAGGCGGCUUUGUAAGUCAGGAGUGAAAGUUUGCAGCUCAACUGUAAAAUUGCUUUUGAUACUGCGAGGCUAGAAUUAGGAUGAGGUCAGCGGAAUGUGGCAUGUAGCGGUGAAAUGCAUAGAUAUGCCAUAGAACACCAAUUGCGAAGGCAGCUGGCUAGACCUGGAUUGACGCUGAGGCACGAAAGCGUGGGGAGCGAACAGGAUUAGAUACCCUGGUAGUCCACGCCCUAAACGAUGCUUACUCGACGUAUGGCACUAGUUGUUGUGCGUCCAAGGGAAACCGUUAAGUAAGCCACCUGGGGAGUACGACCGCAAGGUUG
RNAcentral lists this ribosomal RNA (547 nucleotides) under uncultured bacterium. Its description in RNAcentral is "bacterial SSU rRNA". It matches the Rfam family "Bacterial small subunit ribosomal RNA", at positions 355 to 896 of the family's 1533-position model. The record is from RNAcentral.